RNAcentral lists this ribosomal RNA (531 nucleotides) under Triticum aestivum (bread wheat). RNAcentral's name for it is "partial small subunit ribosomal RNA". The record is from RNAcentral. Lineage: Eukaryota; Viridiplantae; Streptophyta; Magnoliopsida; Poales; Poaceae.
AUGGCUCGGUCAAGAUGGAGUCUUGCGAGCAGCGAGCUUUCGGUCAUCCCUGUGCGGCGUGGAGAGCGGCGGUGCUUUCCUGGUGAUGCCGGCCUGGGAUUUCUCCGUGGAGAGGCGGGUCUGAUUGUCGCAAGGUCGUUCCUUGGAGUGGGUGACGGCCGUUGCGGGCAGUCCUGGACCUGGCCGGAGGUGCUGGUUGGCUGUGGACCCUCGUGCAAGCUGGGAGUGGAUGUGUGGCCGCGGUUUCCCUGCCGGGUGGUCGGUCGUUGGUCCUCGGCUAUGCAGCUACUUCGGCAAGUGCUGUGGUGGCGGCGGUGUGAGGCUUCUUGGCAGUGCUACCAAUCCCAUGGAGGCGUGGCGAUGGGCGAAGCGCGGAUGAAAAUUUUGCACGGCUUCUGCCGGGCCGGCGGUGAUGGCAUCUGUGGAUGUCAUUCCCCUCCUUGGAGGCAUCGUCGAGCGUGUUCGCCUCAUCCCUCGCGCUCUCGGUGUUGGUGGAUGUCUCCGGGUGAAAGCCUAGAUUCGAUGUUCUGA